CAGUCGUACUUACGGGUAAUCAGCCUUUUGGGUGUGAUUUUGUGGAGCGUGAGGAGUUAAACGCCUUCAUGCCUGCAUAUUCGUGCACUUUGGGUGUACUUGCCCGUGUGUAAGUUAACAUCAAUUUUGGUCAUCAUAAAAUGGCUGGAGGAAUGUAGCUUCGGUCUCGUAUUGAAGUGUUAUAGCCUUCGGUAGAUGUGAUGAUCGGGAUUGAGGAUUGCAACGGAUACCCUUCGGGGCUACCUGUCUGGUCUCUGAUCGUUGCUCUGGUCGCCGAAGCUUGUCUUACGGUUAUCAAGUCGAAGGUCAAGUA
Molecule: ribosomal RNA, 313 nt
Filed under: Rhizophagus irregularis
Lineage: Eukaryota; Fungi; Glomeromycota; Glomeromycetes; Glomerales; Glomeraceae
Source: RNAcentral